This 72-nucleotide transfer RNA is filed under the name Caldisericum exile AZM16c01. It matches the Rfam family "tRNA". Rfam says of the family: Transfer RNA (tRNA) molecules are approximately 80 nucleotides in length. Their secondary structure includes four short double-helical elements and three loops (D, anti-codon, and T loops). The record is from Rfam by way of RNAcentral. Lineage: Bacteria; Pseudomonadati; Caldisericota; Caldisericia; Caldisericales; Caldisericaceae.
GCGGGAGUGGCUCAGUGGUAGAGCAUCAGCCUUCCAAGCUGAUCGUCGCGGGUUCGAUUCCCGUCUCCCGCU